GCGCCCGCGGUCCCCACGGAGACCGUCGCUGCUUCAGCGCCGCGCCGGGGCUGUGCCCCCCAACACCCCGCGCCCCGCGGCCGCUGCCCAGGGGUCCUUCCCGGGCACGGCGCGGGGAAGCAGAGGGCCCCCGGGCCAUCUCCGCGGCCUCCCGCCCCACUGGCUCGUCCUCCUACCGCGGCCCCAUCCGGAGCUGCGCUAGGGCGAGUCCCUGCUGCGCCCGCCAAGCCUCCCCAGCACUUGCUCCUGGCAGGUGCCCCACUCCAAGGCAGGGCCGGGAGAGUGGGGGCCGUUCUGCUGCCCUAAGGGCGGGAGGGAGAGGGUCCCAAACAGAGUGCUGGCCCCCCGAAGAAAGCAACCCAGGGUUUGUCCAAGCGAUAACGGGCUGGGCUUGGCGGGGCGGGGCCUCGCAGCGGGCAGGAGUGUGGGGUGCCCCUGGAGCGUCUGGGCAGGGCCGGGAUGUGGCCGGGUAGCUCCCAAGAGCUGGGAAUCGCCACCUGCCCUUCCGACUGGCACCCAGUGUGCCCACACAGCCCUGCAGGGACAAGGGGGGACCAGAGGCCUCUGCUGGGAGCUGGGGCCUCCUCCCUGGGGAGCACCCAGAGGAUGGAAGAAGUCACCUUUCCCCAGCGUCCAGUUCAGGGAGUGGGUGAGGGGGCCGUAGUGGUGGGUGCCAGACUAGCUACGUGGAGUCCUGCUGGGGAUGUACAUGGGCCGCUAGCCAGGCCCAGAACAGGUGCAGGGGCAGCAGGGGCUCAGCUACAGAGAGUUACCCUGUCCUUCUCCCAAGACUACCCUCGGCCAGCAUGACCCUGCCCUGCCCAUCCUGUGUGGGGCUGAGCGGAGAAGACCGGCCACUUCCACAGCCCCUCACGCCAUGGCCCUCCCGUGCCUCACACAGAGGCACCCCCCAUGGUGGGUGACUGGUGGCUGGGGCCCUCAGCAUGGUGGCAGUGACCAUCACGUCACACUGCAACACGAGGUCAUCCAGGGCCACACACCGUCCCCACCACGGCCCUCACAUCUGGGCCCUGUCCCAUCCCUACGCAGUUCCUGGGGCUGCCUGCCGGGGCCCCCGCAGGACGGGGGUGAGGACAAACAGCAGACCUCCUUGGAUGUGGAGGUACCCCACGGCGUCCCCCACCCCACACCUCUGCUCCUUUGGCUCCCUCGGGUGCCUUAGGUGGCCAGAACUCCACCAGCAACCCUCACCCAGGACCGCAGCUCUGGAGACGCCAGCUAGGCCGAGAGCUGGCCAGCUCCCCAAGCACACCAGAGCCUGGAGACGCUCCAGGCUUGGCUGGGCCCACAGAGGGGCCAGAGCCUCAGGGAGGGCUCCAGGAGCAGGGUUUCCAAGGAAGCCACUUUCCCUCUUGUCCACGGCCCAGGCAUUGAUGCCCCUCUGGGCAGCAGCCAGGGCCUCCCAAGCCGGGAAGGGUGGGCAUGGGGCUACCCAGCAUGGCUCUGCCAGGGGUGAGGGUGGCCACAGUCCCCUGCCCACAUCCCUGUGCCCACAGAAACAUAUGCUGUAUGGAAUCAAGGUUUAAGGCAUCUAGGCCUGUGCUGGUAACCUGUAACCUUAGCCCCAUCCCUGUGCCCACAGAAACAUGUGCUGUAUUGACUCAAGGUUUAGGGGAUUUAGGGCUGUGCAGGAUGUGCUUUGUUAACAAUGUGUUUGCAGGCAGUAUGCUUGGUAAAAGUCAUCGCCAUCCUCCAUUCUCCAUUAACCAGGGACACAGUGCACUGCGGAAAGCCGCAGGGACCUCUGCCCAAGAAAGCCUGGGUAUUGUCCAGGUUUCCCCCCAGUGAGACGGCCUGAGAUAUGGCCUCGUGGGAAGGGAAAGACCUGAUCGUCCCCCAGCCCGACACCCAUAAAGGGUCUGUGCUGAGGAGGAUUAGUGAAAGAGGGAGGCCUCUUUGCAGUUGAGAUAAGAGGAAGGCUUCUGUCUCCGACAUGCCCCUGGGAACGGAAUGUCUCCGUGUAAAACCCGAUCGUACAUUAGUUCUAUUCUGAGACAGGAGAAAACCGCCCUGUGGCUGGAGGCGAGAUAUGCUGGCGGCAAUGCUGCUCUGUUACUCUGCUACACUGAGAUGUUUGGGUGGAGAGAAGCAUGAAUCUGGCCUACGUGCACAUCCGGGCACAGCACCUUCCCUUCAAGCUAUUUGUGACACAGAUGCCUUUGCUCACAUUUUCUUGCUGACCUCUGCUCUGCUGCCGCAUUCCUCAUGCAAAGAUAGUGAAAAUGUCUCUCAUCCCACCUGACGAGAAACACCCACAGGUGUGGAGGGGCUGGCCACCCCUUCACUGGCACAGCAACCUGACAUGUGAAGGGGCCCAACUUCUGCAGGAGGACCCCAGGUCUGCAUCGCCAGGGCCCUCGUCAGCCUGUGCAGGGCACAGUAGGUCACCCAAGGGGCAAGUGAGCCUAGGCUGCCCAUGCCUGUGCAGACACCCCCGAUCUCUCUCUGCCCAUCCCCGGAGCAGCACAGACGGGCAGGUUGGCUGCAGAGCCACCAGCUGAGGGGGUGAGAGGUCCCUGGGCAGGGAAUCCUGGGAGCCUGGCCAGCAAGGGUGAGAGGCUGCUGAGCCCAAACCCUCCCCUCGAGGUCCAUCUGCCCUCUCCAGACCAUCUAGGCAGCUCCUCCACACCCCGAUUCCUGCUGGGACACCCAGUCCCACCCUCUAUGGCUCACAGACUGGGGGCCAUGCCCGGCCACACAUCACGUCUGUGCUGUCCCUCAGACUGAAAGGCUAUCGGCGGGCGGCUGGCCGUGACCUACUGCAUCCGCACUUGGGGCCGUGCUGGUCUGUGUGCUGAAUUAUACAUAAUAUAAAAUUGACCACUUAACCACU
This is a long non-coding RNA of Homo sapiens (human), 2854 nucleotides long. RefSeq lists it as uncharacterized. Lineage: Eukaryota; Metazoa; Chordata; Mammalia; Primates; Hominidae. The record is from RefSeq and is a predicted model, not a curated record. The transcript has 2 exons.